This 794-nucleotide ribosomal RNA is filed under the name Sporormiella africana. RNAcentral's name for it is "LSU rRNA". It matches the Rfam family "Eukaryotic large subunit ribosomal RNA", at positions 74 to 865 of the family's 3401-position model. Lineage: Eukaryota; Fungi; Ascomycota; Dothideomycetes; Pleosporales; Sporormiaceae. The record is from RNAcentral.
AUUGCCCUAGUAACGGCGAGUGAAGCGGCAACAGCUCAAAUUUGAAAUCUGGCUCUUUCAGGGUCCGAGUUGUAAUUUGUAGAGGGUGCUUUGGCGUUGACUGUGGUCUAAGUUCCUUGGAACAGGACGUCGCAGAGGGUGAGAAUCCCGUAUGUGGCCGCCAGUCUUCGCCGUGUAAAGCCCCUUCGACGAGUCGAGUUGUUUGGGAAUGCAGCUCUAAAUGGGAGGUAAAUUUCUUCUAAAGCUAAAUAUUGGCCAGAGACCGAUAGCGCACAAGUAGAGUGAUCGAAAGAUGAAAAGCACUUUGGAAAGAGAGUCAAAAAGCACGUGAAAUUGUUGAAAGGGAAGCGCUUGCAGCCAGACUUGCCUGUAGUUGCUCAUCCGGGCUUUUGCCCGGUGCACUCUUCUAUGGGCAGGCCAGCAUCAGUCCUGGCGGUUGGAUAAAUGUCUGCACAACGUACCUCUCCUCGGGGAGGACUUAUAGGGCAGGCGGCAUACAACCAGCCGGGAUUGAGGUCCGCGCAUCUGCUAGGAUGCUGGCGUAAUGGCUGUCAGCGGCCCCGUCUUGAAAACACGGACCAAGGGAGUCUAACAUCUAUGCGAGUGUUUUGGGUGUCAAGCCCCGAGCGCGUAAUGAAAGGUCAACGGGAGGUGGGGAACCCCCUCGGGGUGGCACCAAUCCAACCGGAUCCUGAAUGUCCUUCGGGAUGGAAUUUGGAGUAAAGAGCCAUAGCUUCUUGGGGAACCCCAAAAGAAUGGGUGAAACUUAUGCCUUGAAAUUGGGGUGGAAGUCC